Molecule: non-coding RNA, 284 nt
Organism: Ictidomys tridecemlineatus (thirteen-lined ground squirrel)
Lineage: Eukaryota; Metazoa; Chordata; Mammalia; Rodentia; Sciuridae
Source: RefSeq, a predicted model, not a curated record
CCCUGUUUUCCCUCCUUCAAAGGAGCUACCAGAAGCCAGGGACUCCUUCUUAGGCUAUAAUUAACAUUCUUUCUGGCUGUUCUCAUGACCGAGGCUAAGGGCUCCAGGGAAAUCAAGAGAACAAGUCUGCACCUCAUUUAAAAAAAAAAGAGAAGUGGGGAUCUGAAAUCUGGACUAACUUCAUUCAAUUCAAACAAAGGGAGACCUCAAAGCUGUGUACCUGGUCUUACCCACCAUCCUCCUGUGGCUCAAUGCUCUCUGUUUUUGGAAGACAGGAUAGGUGG